This 400-nucleotide ribosomal RNA is filed under the name uncultured bacterium. RNAcentral's name for it is "bacterial SSU rRNA". It matches the Rfam family "Bacterial small subunit ribosomal RNA", at positions 355 to 747 of the family's 1533-position model. The record is from RNAcentral.
CUAAGAAUAUUCCGCAAUGGACGAAAGUCUGACGGAGCGACGCCGCGUGGAUGACGAAGGCCGAAAGGUUGUAAAGUCCUUUUGUUGGGGAAGAAUAAGGUCGGGAGGGAAUGCCCGGCUGAUGACAUGAACCGACGAAUAAGCCCCGGCUAACUACGUGCCAGCAGCCGCGGUAACACGUAGGGGGCGAGCGUUGUUCGGAAUUACUGGGCGUAAAGGGCAUGUAGGCGGCCUUGUAAGCCUGGCGUGAAAGUCCACGGCUCAACCGUGGGAUUGCGUCGGGAACUGCAGGGCUUGAGUCACGGAGAGGGAGCUAGAAUUCCUGGUGUAGGGGUGAAAUCUGUAGAGAUCAGGAAGAAUACCAGUGGCGAAGGCGAGCUCCUGGCCGAUGACUGACGCU